RNAcentral lists this ribosomal RNA (497 nucleotides) under uncultured bacterium. RNAcentral describes it as "partial 16S ribosomal RNA". It matches the Rfam family "Bacterial small subunit ribosomal RNA", at positions 28 to 507 of the family's 1533-position model. The record is from RNAcentral.
GAUGAACGCUGGCGGCGUGCCUAAUACAUGCAAGUCAAGCGAAAGGACAAGAAGGUUUCUUCUCUGAUUUAAGCGGGGGACGGGGGAGUAAAACGUGGAUAAACUUCCUUUAAGACUGGGAUUACUUCGGGAAAACGUUGCUAAAUCCGGAAUAUCUUUUCAACAGCAUGGUUGAAAAGUGAAAGACGGCUUUGCUGUAACUUUUCGAUGGAUCCGCGCUGCAUUAGCUAGUUGGUAAGGUAACGGCUUACCCAGGCAACGAUGCAUAGCCGACCUGAGAGGGUGACCGGCCACACUGGAACUGAGACACGGUCCAGACUCCUACGGGAGGCAGCAGUAGGGAAUCUUCCGCAAUGGGCGAAAGCCUGACGCAGCAACGCCGCGUGAGUGAUGAAGGUCUUCGGAUCGUAAAACUCUGUUAUUGGGGAAGAACAUAUGUGUAAGUAACUGUGCACAUCUUGACGGUACCUAAUCAGAAAGCCACGGCUAACUACGUG